UAGGGAAUAUUGGGCAAUGGACGAGAGUCUGACCCAGCCAUGCCGCGUGUAGGAAGAAGGCUUUCUGAGUUGUAAACUACUUUUGAUUGGGAACAAAAGAUCCCUGCGGGGAGCAUUGAGUGUACCAAUAGAAUAAGCACCGGCUAACUCCGUGCCAGCAGCCGCGGUAAUACGGAGGGUGCAAGCGUUGUCCGGAUUUAUUGGGUUUAAAGGGUGCGUAGGCGGCUAAUUAAGUCAGCGGUGAAAUUCCACAGCUUAACUGUGGAACUGCCAUUGAUACUGGUUGGCUUGAGUACAGAUGAGGUAGGCGGAAUUGACAGUGUAGCGGUGAAAUGCUUAGAUAUUGUCAAGAACACCUAUUGCGAAGGCAGCUUACUAAGCUGUAACUGACGCUGAGGCACGAAAGCGUGGGGAUCAAACAG
Molecule: ribosomal RNA, 422 nt
Filed under: uncultured bacterium
Lineage: Bacteria
Description: bacterial SSU rRNA
Rfam family: Bacterial small subunit ribosomal RNA
Source: RNAcentral